This 374-nucleotide ribosomal RNA is filed under the name uncultured bacterium. RNAcentral's name for it is "bacterial SSU rRNA". It matches the Rfam family "Bacterial small subunit ribosomal RNA", at positions 28 to 431 of the family's 1533-position model. The record is from RNAcentral.
GACGAACGCUGGCGGCAGGCUUAACACAUGCAAGUCGAGCGCCCCGCAAGGGGAGCGGCGGACGGGUGAGUAACGCGCGGGAAUCUGCCCUUUGGUGUGGGACAACCACGGGAAACUGUGGCUAAUACCGCAUGAGCCCGAGAGGGGAAAGCCGCAAGGCGCCGAGGGAUGAGCCCGCGUCGGAUUAGCUAGUUGGUAGGGUAACGGCCUACCAAGGCGAUGAUCCGUAGCUGGUCUGAGAGGAUGAUCAGCCACACUGGGACUGAGACACGGCCCAGACUCCUACGGGAGGCAGCAGUGGGGAAUAUUGGACAAUGGGGAAACCCUGAUCCAGCCAUGCCGCGUGAGUGAUGAAGGCCUUCGGGUUGUUAAAG